AAGAGAGCAAAGUUGAAAGACAGAGAAUGUUCGAGAACAGUGAGGAGCCGAGGGUUGCAAAGGAGGUUUGGAGCUGGCUUUGUUGAUCCAGUAAAGAAAAUUCUUUUUCAGUGUAGGGUUCUCUAUAUCUUGAAUGGCUUGGAGUGAUUUUGUUUCAAUGGUUUUUAUUAAAUGUUUUGAAUAAAUAUAUAUUUAUUUUGUUUAUAUACUCACAUGAUUAUGUAUAUUUUGUGAAGUUGUUUUAUUAAACCUCCAUGAAAUUCUUAUUAUGGUUUUUCCUAUUGGGACUUUCAGUCUCACCACCCUCCAGUUUCAAGUACUGAAGAUGAAUGGGGAUUGCUAGAUUCAAGCUUAGGCUAAAGAGUCGGUGUUACAGGAUUUUAUUUAUUUAUUUGGAGAUUUUUUUGUGUAUAUUUAAGGAAAUUGACUUUGUAUAAAAGAGGACAUUUUUUUUUUAAUCCUGGGUGUAUUUUAAUGUACCUGAUUUUGUAUAAAUUGAGGAUUUUAUUAGAAUUUUCAGGUCGUGACAACGACGCUUAAGGAACGGAAGCUGCGGUUUCAAGACCUUUGUCACAGGAAGGAAGUGGCGGAUGACGUUCCUCCAUAGGUUUGAAUGGGCACUUAUCCCGAAAAUAAGCUAACUCAGCAAAAUAAAAGUAGAAAUGAAGCAAUUCUGGGAUGAAUCAAAUAAGGGAGCCAAGUGGAAGCAAAAGGAAGCAAAAGGUGGAAUUCAACAUCUAUGAUCGAUCUCAGAUCAAAGUUCGAUCGAUCCAACAUGAUCGAUCUUAGCACUUCAAGAUGGAUCAGAGCCAUGAUGACAUUUUCAGAGAUCUCAAAAGUUCGAUCGAUCCAACAUCAUUCUUCGAUCGAUCAAACUACCUUGUCCUUAUCCAAAUGAUUGAUCUUAUCUAGUUGUACCACCCUACCAACCACUUUUGUCCUUCUCCCAAAAAUAUCUUCGAAAUAUCUCAGAUUUGUUUUUAUCCAAAAAGGCGCCGCCAUUGAGGAUCGAUCCAACUUCAGUUCGAUAGAUCUCAGCCUGUUCGAUCGAUCCAAGUCCAAGGUUCGAUCGAUCGAACUUCCUCCAGUGCGAAAAAGUUAAAUUUCCAGCUCAUUGAAAGCUGUCCUUAUCCAAUCAUUGGGGAAUAUUUUGUGCAUGACCUCAGCUCAUUUUGUGUGUCACUUGACCUACCUAUAUAUAGAAUAUGAUACACUUUUUGAGGGAGAUUGAUCUAUCAUAAUAGCGGCUAUUCUUAGGGAGGAAGAAAGGAGGAGAAGGCUAGAGACACAAGCUUGGGAGCUCUUCAUCAACCAAGGAGUAGAUUUCUUCCAUGGAGUUUGCCCUUGAGGGUUGGAGAAGCAUUACCAUAAGUGGCUAGACAUCCUCUUGGGGAUAGAGUUAGCCCCAAACAUGCUUUCUACAUCUUAAUUUUGUGUAUUAUUGAGGGAUUAAUGUUGUAAUACAUGU
This is a long non-coding RNA of Cornus florida, 1468 nucleotides long. RefSeq lists it as uncharacterized. NCBI's taxonomy places the organism in Eukaryota, Viridiplantae, Streptophyta, Magnoliopsida, Cornales, Cornaceae. The record is from RefSeq and is a predicted model, not a curated record. The transcript is spliced from 3 exons.